ACAUGGCUAGCUCAUUUGGUAGAGCAUGGGACUCCUGAUCUCAGGAUCGUGGGUUUGAGCCCUACACUAAGUG
Molecule: transfer RNA, 73 nt
Filed under: Pangasianodon hypophthalmus (striped catfish)
Lineage: Eukaryota; Metazoa; Chordata; Actinopteri; Siluriformes; Pangasiidae
Rfam family: tRNA
About the family: Transfer RNA (tRNA) molecules are approximately 80 nucleotides in length.
Source: Rfam by way of RNAcentral